Molecule: long non-coding RNA, 3863 nt
Organism: Aedes albopictus (Asian tiger mosquito)
Lineage: Eukaryota; Metazoa; Arthropoda; Insecta; Diptera; Culicidae
Exons: 2
Source: RefSeq, a predicted model, not a curated record
CCAUGGCUUCCGGGCACACCUCUUAUAGAACGUUAUCCUCACUGGGAACCGUGUAUUCCACAAUUACAAUAUGUGAUUCGGCUUAAAAAAUGAAUAAAAUAUGUUUUCUUUUAAAAUUACAAUAAUCUUAUUUUACUAUAUUUUAUUUAAAGUAUUCAAAAACAUAAAGUUACAAUCGGUAAAUUAUUUUGUUUCUUCUAGAUUUCAAAAUCGAGUGUGAGGCGGUACAGUUCGUCCGAAGUAGGAAGGGCAAACCUCUAUUGCUGUACAAAGGCCAUCAGUACACGUUGAACCGUCGACGAAAACAGCUGGGCUACUGGGAGUGCGUUCACAGGCGUUCGAAGCUGAAAAGUUGUCCCUCUCGGAUAACGACGGACAACGUUCAGAUUAAGCGUGUCAAGGGCGAACACGACCACAUGCCUCCGGAGAUGAUAGAAUAUCUAUUGGAUGACUGCAAUGCAUUCCUGAAAGUAGCACCAGCAGAAUAAAAAUUGCCUUUUUGAGAUGCUCGUUUCUCUGUUUGAUUUAGUUGAUAUAAGUAAAUUUGUGCUACCAGACCGUGAACCGUGAAUGUGAUUGAGAACGUUGAAUUUUUAAAAUUUUCACAUUCGAUCUUUACAGUUCUCAUUGAACGUCUGGUGGAGCCUGAACUAAUCAAAGAGGAACCAAACAAGUUGCUGUUCGUUCGCAGUCGUUGGGGACGUAAACUUCUAAUCUACGAACGGUAUGUUUUCUUCUCCAACAAACGGGUCGAGGCGACGAAUACCACCUACUGGCGAUGUACGUUUUCCAGUAAUCGGAAAGGCCCAAACCGCUGCUCGGUGCGAUGCAUUACUAGAGACAAUCAGGUUAUAAACUUUCACGGACUGCAUAACCACCCGGAAGAAAUGUCCAAACUGCAUGGAAGACAUGUUUUCGACCAGUACAGUGUGUACGAUCCAUGAAAAAUAGUAGAACAUGUUCAAAUGAAAUUAUGCGUUUCACUAUAGUACUAGAGCGAUAUUGAGUGAAAUGCAGAAUGUCGUACAGUAUUUAUGAUAAACGAGUUUCAAUAAAAAAUCGAUCGUCUUUCAUUCCAUUACUAGAGUAUAAAUAAAUCAUUUAAAAAAUCAACUAACAGAAUACCUUUGUUUACUUAUCUGUGGCGUUUUAAGGUGCUUACUCGCAGGAGCUGAAGUUCAUCAAAAGCCCAUGGUCUACGCCGUGUCUGGUGAUCAAUGACUUCCUGUACAACUGUCACAGUACUAGAGGGAACAAGGUGUAUUGGCGGUGCCACAACUACUCUCGAAAGAAGAAGGAAGAACGAUGCAGGGCUAGAUGCGUGAUUGUGAAUGGCAGGCUGAGCGCUCUCACAGGAACGCAGCACAACCACGAUCCACACACGGAGAAAAUAGCCAAGAUUAGUCGACGUAACAAUAUGGUGGAUGAAGUACUAGAUGUAGCCAGGGCGGAUCCACCGCCGAGCUAUCUCACUAGCGGGCUCUACAGUUCAAGCUUUUUAUCCGGAGGUUCUACUUUGCUGGACAGCGGCUCCCCGGAUAUUGGUUUGAUCAAGAUCGACGUAUUGCCUAAAUUAGAAGACUACGGCUUGCCAGUUGAACUGUAAACAUGCAUUUUUAAGCUGAAUUUUUACCUCUGAAUCGCAAUAAUAAAACUAUCAAUGUUCGUGAAGCAAUACAAACCAACGUGUUAUCGCUGAUUUUAAAAUUUUUCAUCGUUUUAUUCUAGUACUGAUAAAUCCAUUAUUUCUUUGUACAGUUUUAGACUUUACCCCUUACGACGCCGCAGAGUGCCGGACGUUCAUCAGAAGCCAGCGUGGGGCUCCUCUGUUGGCCCUUGACAAUUUUAUCUACCGGUGCGAACGGGUUCGAAAAACGCGCUCCUAUUGGUUGUGCAUCCGUUACAAGAGUUCCAAGUGCAAUGGUCGCGUAAUCUGCCAGGGCAAUAAGAUUCUCAAGCUGACACAUCACUGCCACGCGAACGACGAACAGCGCAUCAACUCGUCGAUUCUCGAGGAAACGGAUCUGUCCAGCAUCAAUUUGGAGGCGUGGUACAAGCAGACCAUGAUGCACAAGAAGCAUGAGUCGAAGCGAAAAUAAAAAUUAUACAUUCUAGUACUUCAAUACCUACAUCGCUGAUUAUGAUUGAUAUGUCUCAAACCCAUGCUUUCUAUUCUAUUACUUCGCUUAUGAAACUAAUGAAAACUUUUCUCGUUGUAGCUUACAUAACGACUACUACCACCACAUCUAGUACUACAAUAGUCGAAAGCCAGAGUGGAGUGCAGAGUGUCUACUUUCGAAACGAUUUGCGGGACCAGUUGUAUCCGGAAGCCGUGCAAUACAUCCGAAGCCGCCGUGGACACCCGCUGCUAGUGUUCCGAGGGUACAAAUUUCGCCGGAAUGGCGGCUGCAAGGAGAAGGGCUACUGGCGGUGCGCCUCUUUCUGCAAGUGCCCCGGAAGGGUUACCACCGUCGAUGGGACCAUCGUUAAGUACCACGUGCACAACCAUGAACCGCCUUUCAAAGAAUCCGCCGAGUUGUUCUAGGAUUGAGGGAGGCACCAUUUCGAUAAACUGUACCAUAGUGAAUGAUUGUAAUGAACCCCAGAAUUAAUCUCCUUUAGAAUAUUUUAUAGACCAUGAUGAUAAUUUUGAUGCCAGAGCAGAAGUUAGAAUUAGUUGAGUAAAUUACGUCUUCUUGUUACUAUUUAUAGAAUGGGAUCAUCAAGGUUUCCGUGCGCUGGAGAAACAGGUAUUCCUUGCCCACGACAUUGCCAACAGUUGGAUGGCCAACGAGAAAAUCACUUACUGCCAGAGCCAGCGUGGAAGGUUUUUGCUUAUAUUUCUGGGCUACCGGUUCCGUCGAGAGAUGGUGAAGCAAUACAAAACCUACUGGCGAUGUCUGGUGGACAAAUGUCCCGGACGGAUGAUAACAAUGCUUCCAGGGGAUACGGUAAUGCGCUAUCGGAUACAUAAUCACCCGUCCAGUUUCUAGAAAACGAUCAAAUAAAUUCCGUUUAUUCAAAAAUAUACAAAUGUUGAAGUUUCAUUACGGUUUUGAAUGCGGUACUAGAAUACGGUGCGCAUAUAACAAACUUAUACGAACCCUUUUGUUUUUCUUCAAGCUUCUGGAUUGGAUUUCAUUUUCAGUCAACGAGGGCAUCCUUUGUUGGUGGUUGAUAACUUCCUGUAUCGAAAAAAUCGAGGACAUUACUGGCGCUGUAUUCGAUGUACCAAAUUCAAGUGUCGCAGCCGACUGAUUGUGAAGCCUGGUCAGAAACCUGCUCGUAUCGAAGAUUACUCGCAUGGGCCGGAAACGGAGAAGAUUAGUUGGGGCCGGACGGUGAUGGAGAACGUGAAAUCUCAUGAGCAGGGGGAUAUCGUUUUUCGAAUGCGACAACCGCACUGUAAAGUUGAUUAUGUGAUAAACCCAGAUAAGGAAUAAAUCUCUGCCAGCCAUUCUAGUACUUCAAAUCUUUUAUUUUUUAUCGUUUGAACUAGUACUUAUCUGCGAUGUUUUUACCGGUAGUUCUUUUAUCGUUUCAGUUACUGCGAUUCCGUACUGUCCUCCUGCGUUGGGCGAUCGCAAUCCGGUUCCGAAGGUGUGGUACUCCUUUCCGCUGUGCUACGUGAUCAAUCGACGCGGAACAAUGAACCUGCAUUUCCGAGGUUAUAUCUACAUCCAGAAGAAGCGGCACAACCGCACAAUGAACUGGAUCUGUAACAAGAGCAAUACGACACAAUCGAGCUGUAAAUCGAGGAUAUACACCGAGGGCAACAACAAGAUCCGCUUUGGGGUCCACUGGCACAAUCAUGGACCCGUGGAUAUGAAUGAACUGUUGUGAAAUAAAUUGAAUCAAAUGAA